CCCUUAGAUGUUCUGGGCCGCACGCGCGCUACACUGACGGAUUCAACGAGCUUACAACCUUGGCCGAAAGGUCUGGGUAAUCUCCAAAAUCCGUCGUGAUGGGGAUAGAUUAUUGCAAUUAUUAAUCUUCAACGAGGAAUGCCUAGUAAGCGCAAGUCAUCAGCUUGCGUUGAUUACGUCCCUGCCCUUUGUACACACCGCCCGUCGCUCCUACCGAUUGAAUGGUCCGGUGAAGCGUUUGGACUAUGGUUUUCUGAUGGUCCGCCGUUGGAUUACCGUGGGAAGUUCGUUAAACCUUAUCAUUUAGAGGAAGGAGAAGCCGUAACA
Molecule: ribosomal RNA, 327 nt
Filed under: uncultured eukaryote
Lineage: Eukaryota
Description: partial 18S ribosomal RNA
Rfam family: Eukaryotic small subunit ribosomal RNA
Source: RNAcentral